CCGUAUGGUCUUGCCUGAGGAGGAGGU
Molecule: small RNA, 27 nt
Filed under: Bombyx mori (domestic silkworm)
Lineage: Eukaryota; Metazoa; Arthropoda; Insecta; Lepidoptera; Bombycidae
Description: ovarian small RNA-13917
Source: RNAcentral